Long non-coding RNA from Helianthus annuus (common sunflower), 824 nucleotides. RefSeq lists it as uncharacterized. The transcript has 2 exons. NCBI's taxonomy places the organism in Eukaryota, Viridiplantae, Streptophyta, Magnoliopsida, Asterales, Asteraceae. The record is from RefSeq and is a predicted model, not a curated record.
AACUUUUUCUUGAAUGUUUUGUGUAGAUUCUGCCAAGUUCACUGUUUCUUCGAUAACAGUUUCGUUUUCACCACUUUCUGCAGGCCAGAGUGGUUUGUAAGCGUAUACACCCGUUUCGACAGUUUGAAUGUUUGCAAUUAGUGUGUCUGUCACUCCUCCAUCAUCUUUAUUUGUCAAUCCUUCAUCAUCUGGCUGCAGUACCCCUAUAGAUACAAAUUAUUGAAUUUUAAUAUAUCAGAAUCAAAAUCGCAUGCUAUACAUGACAUUGCAUGCGAAAUCAAAAUGUGAAGUGUUUGUAUGAAAUCGCAUGUGUUUUUUAAAGGUUUCGCAUGUGUAUAUGAAAUGGUGAUUUUUUUAACAUAAAUUCGCAUGUGUUAAUUUGAAAUCACAUGUUUUACCUUCUGAUGCCAUUUGUACCAAAACAUUGGAUAUUACUUGUUGAGCUUCUUCAUUCUGUCUACUUUUUUCGUUUGUAGUGUCUACAUAUGGAACUUCAGAAGCUGCAUUUUCAUGCUGUUGAUGAUCAUCAGAGGGUGCAGUUUCAUGCUCUUGAACCGAAUCAGGCGGCACACAAAUGGGAUUAUUCCGAAGUGUCUCAUCUCACUGCUUACAGGCCUCCAUAAUCUCCGGAUCCCAAAAACACUUAGUUUUUGCUUCUGAAACUAAGUUGUUCAUCCCUUGAACAUCUUGAACCAUUUUAAUGUAUUUUUUGACAUUGGCUUUCAUUUUUUUCAACAGGUUCUGUAAUAUUUUUCGAGUUAAGAUACUAUCAAUUCAAAUGUUAAAUAUAAAUGGAUUAAGUGAAAUUAAUAUUUUUUUGCGCU